Brassica rapa (field mustard) is the source of this 3252-nucleotide long non-coding RNA. RefSeq lists it as uncharacterized. The record is from RefSeq and is a predicted model, not a curated record. Lineage: Eukaryota; Viridiplantae; Streptophyta; Magnoliopsida; Brassicales; Brassicaceae.
CCUUUGCCAAGCCCACUCACCACUCCUCCAGUCACCAACACGUACUUCAUCCCCCUCCCUCCAAAAGAAAAGAUGCUCUCUGAUGGUCUUGGAUUUGGGAUUCUCUCAUACAAAUCUCUUGCACAUGUUUAUUCUCCCAGGAACAACCAAUAUUGAGGAAGUUGGAAGCUACCAGAGAUUAGGAAGAUGAACUCAAAUGAGAUGAAGGUGAACCAGCAGAGAUGAGUUCUCAUCUUAAGAUGCUAUGUUUGCUGCACACGAUUUCACUCAACUAUACAAGUUAAGGAGGCAAGAGAAUAUGAAUUUCCAAGCUGAGAGUUUUAUAAAACUUAUUUGGUGUACAAGUGAACUAAUGUACAGUUUUAUAAAACUUAUUUGGUGUAUAUGUGAACUAUUGUACAUGUAAGCUUUUGGAAAUUUAUGUACACGUGGACAUUGAAAAUUAUGUGUACAUGUUUGAUAAUUAUGUGUACAAGUCUGCAAGUUUAUGUGUACACAUUUCUAUAAUUAGUAUCUACACGAUUUUUUAAGUUUUAUAGAUGUGGGUUUCAGAUGUGUAUAAGCAAAUGUAUUUAUACAAAGAAAAAAGUUAUACAAACACCAUUUAAAUGUACAUCGUUUUAAUAAUACACUAGAUUCUGACCCGCCCUCUCAGAGGGCGGGUAUAUUUUUUGUUUUACAUAUUUUUGUAGAAAUGUAAUUUUUAUAUUUGUGUCUUUCUUUGUAACCAUAUUUGGAUUUUUUUAUAAGCAUAUUUGUGCUUUUCUAUGUAAUCAUAUUUGUGCGAAUUUUAUUUUUAAAUUAUUACUAAGAAUUUUGAUAAUUGUAUUGAAUUAGUGAUGUUACAUAACUAUACACUUGUGCCGUAGCUAUUUCACACAUUAAUUUUUUUAUUUUAUUCGUAAAUAAAUAGAUAUUAUUUUUUUAAAAAAAUAACAAAUUAUAGUACAAUUUUUUAUUAAUAAAAUAGUAAUUAAAUAAAUGAAAAUUAUAUGUUUUUCAUUUGAAGUUUCAUGAUUUGAUUUCAUAUAUAAACAUAAUAACAUUAUUAUUACACAUAAUAGUACAAAUAAUAUUACAUCAAACAAAAAAUAUUACACAUUAUAAUAUGUCAUGCAGUUUAAAAUGGAUAUUAUAAAUCAAGGCCCGUGACCCAAAUUUGUCUGACUAUUAUAAAAAAACAUAUAAUUUCGAUUUGAAAUGCAACAAACAUGUAUGUUAUUUAAACUGCAUGGCCCAAAAUUUUCUUUAAAUACAUGUUAUAAAUCAAGGCUCAUGGCGAUUAUUAGGCAAUUUAAGGGGUGGUUACAUCAAUUUAUUAGAUUUCGAUGCAGUUAUACUAAAGCGUAUGUAUCAUUGAAAUUUUAAGUUGGACAUAACCUUUAUUAACUGGUCAUGUUGUUGUUUUAGUAUAAUAUAUUUUUAUAAAUACAUAUAUAAUGGUUUGUAAAACCAUAAAGCCAUAAUAUUUUGUGUUGUCUAAUGUCAAAUAACUUUAUAUUCAUGAUCUUGAUAUUAAAGAAAAAGAAAAACUUAUAUACAUGAUCUCAUGAUGCUAAAACAUAUACAAACCUGUUUUCUCGUAUAUAUAUUUUAUUAAAAAAUUUAAAUGCAAACUCUUAGCAGUAGAAGCAUUUAGACAUUUUAACGAAGCUCUUAUAUCAUCAAAUACAUCUUGAAAGAUUAAAGCCCAAACCUAAUUUGUCAUCCAAUAACAAAAACAAAACUUUUUUUGUGCAAAAAAAAAAAAAAAAAGACGCAAGCGGUGCGCUUCUUCUCACGAACCGUCGCAGCGCCACCACCGAACUUCAGCAAAGCAAUCCUGCAAUCCUGCAAUGAAACCUUCUGACUUUCAAUAGAUAAUAUCUAUGAGGGCAAUGAAUAGAAAAUGUGAAAUUGUGGUUCAACUCGAUAUUUGUUAUAAAGAAAAAAAAACAGUUUUGCACGCAGGUUAUGGAGAUAUCUGAAAUUGAGGCUGUUUUUCAUAAUAUGGGUUUAAUAGGAUGAGUUGAGGAGAAAUCAAUCACGAUCCUUUGAUACACGAAAAAAGGCAAAUACAUAAACCCAACUGUUUUUAAUUAAGAGAAACGUAACUGCUUGUAGUUAGAUAGAAGAUCGUGGUUUAUAUUAAAUAGAUUAUAUAUAACUAUAUAAAAGUUGAAUUUUUUUUUUAAUAAAAUCCAAUGGACACUACUUUUAUCAAUUGGUCACACUGCUGUUUUAAUAGUAUUUAUAUGUACACAUGUAAAGUGUACACAUGUACAUAAGUAAUUUUUGUACAUAUACACAUAUGUACACAUGACAUAUUAUCUAACAUAUUAUCUAAUUUUUGUGAAUAUGUAUUCAUAUUAAGUGUCAUCAUUAGUAAUUUUUGACUAUUAUGAUUAUCUAACUAUUUUAAGAAGUAAAAUAAUCUAUUUGGCGAUUUUUAUUCGAGCCGGUGGUUUUAUUGAUAAAACACCUUGAAUUCUUGAAAAAUAAAUCUAAACCGUAUCAUAUUAUUUACAAAACGUGAUAACUAUGAAUACUCAGAAAUUCGUUUUGAAUACUUUUAUUCAUAUUUAUAUGAAAUUGUAUUAAUUAACUCAUCUGACUCAAACUAAUAAGAUAACCAUGGUCCAGUAGUGAAGGAUAUGUGUACAUUCAACAUCCUCUCCACUAAUGUCCAAAACUUCAUUUUUGUCAUUUUUUUAUAUUUUUUCAUUAAUAGCAAAACCGUAAUUUACUCAUCUUCCACCUCACAAAUUUUUUUAGGGUUUCUGUAAAAUUUUCAUGGCCGCCAACAAUGGUUUCAUCUAAAAGCAUCAACUGUUGUGUGCCUUCAUGUUGUUUUGACAGCGAAUCUGUAUAUAUGUUUGCUAGUAAUCGAUUUCAAACUUUCAACUUUCCAAAACAGAGAUAUUUCCAAAACUGGGGUUCAUUACCAAUCCUUCACUGUAAUGGUUCGGCUUGUAUUCAGACUGGAACUUCUCUGAUAACGGAAACAGUCGUGUCUUUUGCAUCAAUUUCAUUUCACCAUUUCAAGUUUGAAGCUCAUAUGUCUCCAGCUAUUUGUUUGGUAUGGAUAAAAAAGAAAGUGACGAACUCCAAAAAUGUGGGACCACUUUAGUUCAAUAAAUGAGUUUAGUUUAUAAUUGUUCGGUUAAGUUUGGUUUCUAGUUUGGUUUAUAGGCACAGAAACUAUUUCAGUAGCAAGAAGUGACUCAGAAUGUAAUAAAAAGAUGAAAACUGUCUCUGAAUGUAAAUCACUCC